UUGAUUGUGAAUCGGUUGCCUCCUGUGCUGGCUUUUGCAAGUGCACGGUGGUGACUUUCAUCCACCCCCUUGUGAACCUUUGGCCUCUUGCUGGCUUUGGUUGGCAGAGGAUUUUUACACAAACUCGAAUGUAAUGAGAAAUACUGUUGUGCGCAAGCACGAAUGUACAACUUUCAACAACGGAUCUCUUGGCUCUCGCAUCGAUGAAGAACGCAGCGAAAUGCGAUAAGUAAUGUGAAUUGCAGAAUUCAGUGAAUCAUCGAAUCUUUGAACGCACCUUGCACCCUUUGGCAUUCUGAAGGGUAUGCUCGUUUGAGUGUCAUUGUACUCUCACACUCUCAAUCCUUUGGGUUGGGAGUGGUGGACUUGGGCAUUGCUGCUUUACUGCAGCUUGCCUCAAAUGCAUUAGUGCAACUCCAGGUUGGACAUAGUACGGCGUGAUAAGUGUCUUCGCCGGCACCUCGCAAGAGGGUGACUGAUCAGGAGCUCUGUGCUUCAAACCGUCUUCGGACAAUCAUCUGACAACUUGACCUCAAAUCGAGUAGGACUACCCGCUGAACUUAAGCAUAUCAAUAAGCGGAGGAAAAGAAACUAACAAGGAUUCCCCUAGUAACGGCGAGUGAAGAGGGAAGAGCUCAAAUUUUGAAUCUGGCACCUUUGGUGUCCGAAUUGUAAUCUAGAGAAGUGUUUUCUGUGAUGGACCAUGCAUAAGUCUCCUGGGAUGGAGCGUCAUAGAGGGUGAGAAUCCCGUAUAUGGCAUGGACUCCCGUUGCUCUGUGAUACACUCUCGACGAGUCGAGUUGUUUGGGAAUGCAGCUCCAAAUGGGUGGUAAAUGCCAUCUAAAGCUAAAUAUUGGCGAGAGACCGAUAGCGAACAAGUACCGUGAGGGAAAGAUGAAAAGCACUUUGGAAAGAGAGUGAAACAGUACGUGAAAUUGUUGAAAGGGAAACGCUUGAAGUCAGUCACACCGUUCGGGAUUCAGCCUUGCUUCUGCUCGGUUUACUUCCUGUUGGGUGGGUCAACAUCAGUUUUGGUCAGAGGAGAAAUGCUUGGGGAAUGUGGCAGCAUUCGUGCUGUGUUAUAGCCCCUU
RNAcentral lists this ribosomal RNA (1091 nucleotides) under Sebacina pallida. Its description in RNAcentral is "eukaryotic LSU rRNA". The stretch from base 528 to 1091 matches the Rfam family "Eukaryotic large subunit ribosomal RNA", at positions 1 to 567 of the family's 3401-position model. Lineage: Eukaryota; Fungi; Basidiomycota; Agaricomycetes; Sebacinales; Sebacinaceae. The record is from RNAcentral.